Molecule: ribosomal RNA, 301 nt
Filed under: uncultured bacterium
Lineage: Bacteria
Description: partial 16S ribosomal RNA
Rfam family: Bacterial small subunit ribosomal RNA
Source: RNAcentral
CAGUAGCCGCGGGAAUACGUAGGUGGCAAGCGUUGUCCGGAAUUAUUGGGCGUAAAGGGCUCGCAGGCGGUUUCUUAAGUCUGAUGUGAAAGCCCCCGGCUCAACCGGGGAGGGUCAUUGGAAACUGGGAAACUUGAGUGCAGAAGAGGAGAGUGGAAUUCCACGUGUAGCGGUGAAAUGCGUAGAGAUGUGGAGGAACACCAGUGGCGAAGGCGACUCUCUGGUCUGUAACUGACGCUGAGGAGCGAAAGCGUGGGGAGCGAACAGGAUUAGAUACCCGGGUAGUCCCUGUCUCUUAUAU